Molecule: transfer RNA, 74 nt
Filed under: Candidatus Pacebacteria bacterium CG10_big_fil_rev_8_21_14_0_10_56_10
Lineage: Bacteria; Bacillati; Minisyncoccota
Description: tRNA-Thr
Rfam family: tRNA
About the family: Transfer RNA (tRNA) molecules are approximately 80 nucleotides in length.
Source: RNAcentral
GCCUGCGUAGCUCAGCUGGCCAGAGCAGCGGUAUCGUAAACCGCGGGUCGUCGGUUCGAAUCCGACCGCAGGCU